AGUGAACGCUGGCGGUAGGCCUAACACAUGCAAGUCGAACGGCAGCACAGUAAGAGCUUGCUCUUAUGGGUGGCGAGUGGCGGACGGGUGAGGAAUAUAUCGGAAUCUACUUUUUCGUGGGGGAUAACGUAGGGAAACUUACGCUAAUACCGCAUCCGACCUACGGGUGAAAGCAGGGGAUCUUCGCACCUUGCGCGAUUGAAUGAGCCGAUGUCGGAUUAGCUAGUUGGCGGGGUAAAGGCCCACCAAGGCGACGAUCCGUAGCUGGUCUGAGAGGAUGAUCAGCCACACUGGAACGGGGACACGGUCCAGACUACUAAGGGAGGCAGCAGUGGGGAAUAUUGGCCAAUGGGCGCAAACCUGAUCCAGCCAUACCACGUGGGUGAAAAGAGCCUUCGGGUUGUAAAGCCCUUUUGUUGGGAAAGAAAAGCAGCAGGUUAAUACCCCGCUGGUCUGACGGUACCCAAUGAAUAAGCACCGGCUAACUACGUG
This 492-nucleotide ribosomal RNA is filed under the name uncultured bacterium. RNAcentral describes it as "partial 16S ribosomal RNA". It matches the Rfam family "Bacterial small subunit ribosomal RNA", at positions 29 to 507 of the family's 1533-position model. The record is from RNAcentral.